This 76-nucleotide transfer RNA is filed under the name Podarcis lilfordi (Lilford's wall lizard). RNAcentral's name for it is "tRNA.Leu". Lineage: Eukaryota; Metazoa; Chordata; Lepidosauria; Squamata; Lacertidae. The record is from RNAcentral.
UCUUCCAUAGCACAGUUGGUAGAGCAUGAGACUCAGAAACUCAGGGUUGUGUGUUUGAGCCCCAUGUUGGGCAAAA